Solanum tuberosum (potato) is the source of this 72-nucleotide non-coding RNA. The record is from Rfam. NCBI's taxonomy places the organism in Eukaryota, Viridiplantae, Streptophyta, Magnoliopsida, Solanales, Solanaceae.
GUCCCUUUCGUCCAGUGGUCAGGACAUCGUCUUUUCAUGUCAAAGACAUGGGUUCAUUUCCCGUAAGGAAUA